ACGGCCUCUACGUGGACUGCCUGCACAGAAGAAGAGGAGGAUACCACUCAUAGCUUUGGGCAGGGUUUUAACACGUAAGACAGCCUCUUCGUGGACUGCCUGUACAGAAGAAGAGGAGGAUACCACUCAUAGCUUUGGGCAGGGAUUUAACACGUAAGACAGCCUCUACGUGGACUGCCUGUACAGAAGAAGAGGAGGAUACCACUCAUAGCUUUGGGCAGGGAUUCAAC
Long non-coding RNA from Mytilus trossulus (common blue mussel), 230 nucleotides. RefSeq lists it as uncharacterized. The transcript has 3 exons. NCBI's taxonomy places the organism in Eukaryota, Metazoa, Mollusca, Bivalvia, Mytilida, Mytilidae. The record is from RefSeq and is a predicted model, not a curated record.